Long non-coding RNA from Myodes glareolus (Bank vole), 973 nucleotides. RefSeq lists it as uncharacterized. The record is from RefSeq and is a predicted model, not a curated record. NCBI's taxonomy places the organism in Eukaryota, Metazoa, Chordata, Mammalia, Rodentia, Cricetidae.
GGAGGGGGCUCUAGCUCGAGCUGUGGGAUGCCUGUUGGUCACGUAAUGGUGUUCUUAUUGCUAUUCAAGCCAACCUCUACCACUGUCACGUCCACUGCUCCUCAAGGUUGAAUCCAGUAUUCAUGGAGAGAAAAAAAAAAUUCCUUGGGAGGUGAACCCUUCCGAGGGGUUCUUAAACUGUGUCCAUCGUCUGUCUGAAGAUAGAUUUUAAGGAGUAUCUAGGCACUUCCCCUAAGUUCAUCCCAAAGGCUGCAAUUACAGACAUGGACCAUUAUGAGAAUCUGCAAUCGGACCUUAUGACUUCAUCACUGACGUAAUCCAAUCUGGAAAACCUAAAAUCGUUCAUCCAACUCUCUAUGAGCGAGUGUCUUACGUAAACACCUAAAAUGUAUGUGUGUCAACAUUAUCGAGAGCUACAGGACCUACGGAGCAUCUUUAACAGAGGCUUUGCUGUGCAUGAUUAAUCACUGAAACAUUCCAUGAAAGGUUUUUAAGAUGCUGUUUUAUUUUCAACAACUCGAACACAGAGAAUGUUACGAAGCAGGGGUUUGUAACAGAGUAAAUUUAGGAGGAAUCCUUUUUUAAAACAAAAUACCAUGGCACAGUUUAUCCGUAAGCUCACAGAGAAAACCCUGGCACUGCUGAAUGCUGCGGUGACCUAAUCCAAGCCUCAGUCAGCCACAUUUUGGCUCUGUACCAAGGAUAAGUUGGUCUCCAACUCCAGCUAAGCUUCUUACAACUCUCAGAUGGUGAAGAAAAAUCCCAAGUGCUGAUUGGGGGUUUCCAAGAACUCACCGCUAAAGAAGCCAUGCUGAAUGGCUCUGUGGCCACUGAGGUAUCAUCAGCAAAUGUGAUGUCAUUGGCUGCUAUAGUUGGCGAUUGGUCUUUUAUAUCUGAUUUUGUUUAAGCUCCCAUUUGAAUGUUCCUGGACCACAUGUAAUGAAACUGCUAUCUCAAUAAAAUAAGAGCUAUC